This 484-nucleotide ribosomal RNA is filed under the name uncultured bacterium. Its description in RNAcentral is "partial 16S ribosomal RNA". It matches the Rfam family "Bacterial small subunit ribosomal RNA", at positions 30 to 507 of the family's 1533-position model. The record is from RNAcentral.
AUUGAACGCUGGCGGCAUGCCUUACACAUGCGAGUCGAACGGCAGCGCGGACUUCGGUCUGGCGGCGAGUGGCGAACGGGUGAGUAAUACAUCGGAACGUACCCUGUUGUGGGGGAUAACUAGUCGAAAGAUUAGCUAAUACCGCAUACGACCUGAGGGUGAAAGUGGGGGACCGCAAGGCCUCACGCAGCAGGAGCGGCCGAUGUCUGAUUAGCUAGUUGGUGGGGUAAAGGCCCACCAAGGCGACGAUCAGUAGCUAGUCUGAGAGGACGAUCAGCCACACUGGGACUGAGACACGGCCCAGACUCCUACGGGAGGCAGCAGUGGGGAAUUUUGGACAAUGGGGGCAACCCUGAUCCAGCAAUGCCGCGUGUGUGAAGAAGGCCUUCGGGUUGUAAAGCACUUUUGUCCGGAAAGAAAUCGCGCUGGUUAAUACCUGGCGUGGAUGACGGUACCGGAAGAAUAAGCACCGGCUAACUACGUG